CGACUCUCGGCAACGGAUAUCUCGGCUCUCGCAUCGAUGAAGAACGUAGCGAAAUGCGAUACUUGGUGUGAAUUGCAGAAUCCCGUGAACCAUCGAGUUUUUGACGCAUGUUGCGCCCAAAGCCAUUAGGCCAAGGGCACGUCUGCCUGGGCGUCAC
Molecule: ribosomal RNA, 157 nt
Filed under: Ilex x wandoensis
Lineage: Eukaryota; Viridiplantae; Streptophyta; Magnoliopsida; Aquifoliales; Aquifoliaceae
Description: 5.8S ribosomal RNA
Rfam family: 5.8S ribosomal RNA
About the family: 5.8S ribosomal RNA (5.8S rRNA) is a component of the large subunit of the eukaryotic ribosome. It is transcribed by RNA polymerase I as part of the 45S precursor that also contains 18S and 28S rRNA.
Source: RNAcentral